This 833-nucleotide ribosomal RNA is filed under the name uncultured bacterium. Its description in RNAcentral is "bacterial SSU rRNA". It matches the Rfam family "Bacterial small subunit ribosomal RNA", at positions 62 to 850 of the family's 1533-position model. The record is from RNAcentral.
UCGAACGCGUCUCCGUUGAUGAUUUUAGGUGCUUGCACUUGAAAAAUUUAACAUUGAGACGAGUGGCGAACUGGUGAGUAACACGUGGGUAACCUGCCCUUGAAGUAGGGGAUAACACUUGGAAACAGGUGCUAAUACCGUAUAACAACCAAAACCACCUGGUUUUGGUUUAAAAGACGGCUUCGGCUGUCACUUUAGGAUGGACCCGCGGCGCAUUAGCUUGUUGGUAAGGUAACGGCUUACCAAGGCGAUGAUACGUAGCCGACCUGAGAGGGUAAUCGGCCAUAUUGGGACUGAGACACGGCCCAAACUCCUACGGGAGGCAGCAGUAGGGAAUCUUCCACAAUGGACGAAAGCCUGAUGGAGCAACGCCGCGUGAGUGAUGAAGGGUUUCGGCUCGUAAAACUCUGUUGUUGGAGAAGAACAGGUGUCAGAGUAACUGUUGACAUCUUGACGGUAUCCAACCAGAAAGCCACGGCUAACUACGUGCCAGCAGCCGCGGUAAUACGUAGGUGGCAAGCGUUGUCCGGAUUUAUUGGGCGUAAAGCGAGCGCAGGCGGUUUUUUAGGUCUGAUGUGAAAGCCUUCGGCUUAACCGGAGAAGUGCAUCGGAAACCGGGAGACUUGAGUGCAGAAGAGGACAGUGGAACUCCAUGUGUAGCGGUGAAAUGCGUAGAUAUAUGGAAGAACACCAGUGGCGAAGGCGGCUGUCUGGUCUGUAACUGACGCUGAGGCUCGAAAGCAUGGGUAGCGAACAGGAUUAGAUACCCUGGUAGUCCAUGCCGUANACGAUGAGUGCUAAGUGUUGGAGGGUUUCCGCCCUUCAGUGCUGCA